GUGAAUUGCUUUGUUUGCAGAAGUAUUAAGCCCUAAUGGCUGUGGGGACCGCCCGGCUGCCCGCUGCCUCCCCAUCACUGCCACCUCUGCUCCUGGUGACCAGGGAUGUCCCCAGGGCACAGCUCCAAACCGCGGGGCUCACACGGGACCCUGCGUGCAUCGCUGCAGUGCGAGGGGUUCGUUAGGACGUGCCAGCCAGGACACGCUCAUGGAGAGAACUGAAUUCUCAAAAGUGCCAGGAGAGGUUUGAAAGGCUUUCCAAAACUGCUACCUCACUGAAAGGUCACUUUAUUGAAACUGUUGAUGAACCUCAGGGUUAUUUCAUCCCAUUCCUCAGGGAGCAGCAUCAGCAGAAACCCAAUGCAAAUGAUGAUGGUGGCUCCCAGCCUCACUACGCUGAAGAUCAUUUUGUGCUUCAACAGAUCCACAGCUGUGAAGGAGAAACAAAAAUGUCAUCAAAACUGCAGCAGGAUGAUCUACAGCAUCAGACCAGCCUGGUACAACUCCGUAACCAGUGUGUUGCACACUGGCUGUGCUACUGGCCACGUUGCCCUCAAUUCUCUGGAGUGACCAACUCCUCCAGUUCAGAGAACAGCUUUGACCUGACAGCGUGGUGCCACGUCUCUCUUCACACAGGCUCUGAGGAACCCUCUAGGGCCGGUCUAAGCCUCUAGGUUUCCAUUUCUGCUCUGCAAGGGAAGGUACUUUAUGGUAACUCUUCAUCUACAGCAGGUUGCAUCAGCGUAAUGUUUCCUUGGGCUGUGUGGACCAGCGAUGAGGUGAGAGCAGGAUGCGGGUCAGAAAGCUGGAGUUCAUGCCUCCAGGCUCAGCCUCCCAGCCCCACAACCAGCAAGAACAGCACAUGUGAGCCCCUCAGCAGCCUCUUACAGGGACUGAUUUUCACAGCUCUGACCAGCAUUCCCCUAAAAAUAGAUGUUUUCUUUGAAAACACGCUCAAAUACCUGGAGUGGUGAGGCUAAGAGGGUGGAGGAGGACACUGGAAGAGCAGAGGCAGAGGCUGUUCAACAAGACAGGACUCUGGAGUAAACUUCCAUGUGUAUGCCCUGCCGGGCUGCUACAUGGCAAGUCACCAGCGCAGCGCUGAGCUGCAGCAGCACGCUGACCCCACCACAUCUC
Grus americana (Whooping crane) is the source of this 1137-nucleotide long non-coding RNA. RefSeq lists it as uncharacterized. NCBI's taxonomy places the organism in Eukaryota, Metazoa, Chordata, Aves, Gruiformes, Gruidae. The transcript is spliced from 3 exons. The record is from RefSeq and is a predicted model, not a curated record.